CACUUAAUUUCCGUGCAGCAGCGCGUAGUACUGGAGUGGCCAGCGUAUCAUGAUAACGGCGUUAAGCGUUCGCAGCCGACGUUUCAGGUCUGGCUGGUAAAACGUGGGAGCUAACUCCAUCAAGGGCAGUGGGAAACUGUUGGGCUUGAGUGUGGUAGGGGCAGAGGGGAAUUUCCCGGUGUAGCGGUGAAAUGCGUAGAUAUCGGGAAGAACACCCAGUGGCGAAGGCGCUCUGCUGGGCCAUAACUGACGCUCAUGGACGAGAGCCAGGGGAGCGAAAGGGAUUAGAUACCCCUGUAGUCCUGGCCGUAAACGAUGAACACUAGGUGUCGGGGGAAUCGACCCCCUCGGUGUCGUAGCCAACGCGUUAAGUGUUCCGCCUGGGGAGUACGCACGCAAGUGUGAAACUCAAAGGAAUUGACGGGGGCCCGCACAAGCGGUGGAGUAUGUGGUUUAAUUCGAUGCAACGCGAAGAACCUUACCAGGGUUUGACAUCCUGCGAACCUCGAAGAAAUUUGAGGGUGCCUUCGGGAACGCAGUGACAGGUGGUGCAUGGCUGUCGUCAGCUCGUGUCGUGAGAUGUUGGGUUAAGUCCCGCAACGAGCGCAACCCACGUUUUUAGUUGCCAGCAUUCAGUUGGGCACUCUAGAGAGACCGCCGGUGAUAAACCGGAGGAAGGUGUGGACGACGUCAAGUCAUCAUGCCCCUUACAUCCUGGGCUACACACGUACUACAAUGCUACGGACAAAGGGCAGCGAACUCGCGAGGGCAAGCAAAUCCCAUAAACCGUGGCUCAGUUCAGAUCGUAGGCUGCAACUCGCCUACGUGAAGCAGGAAUCGCUAGUAAUCGCAGGUCAGCAUACUGCGGUGAAUACGUUCCCGGGCCUUGUACACACCGCCCGUCACACCAUGGAAGUUGGCCACGCCCGAAGUCGUUACUCCAACCCUUGUGGAGGAGGACGCCGAAGGUGGGGCUAAUGACUGGGGUGAAGUCGUAACAAGGUAACC
Molecule: ribosomal RNA, 1008 nt
Filed under: uncultured Prochlorococcus sp.
Lineage: Bacteria; Bacillati; Cyanobacteriota; Cyanophyceae; Synechococcales; Prochlorococcaceae
Description: bacterial SSU rRNA
Rfam family: Bacterial small subunit ribosomal RNA
Source: RNAcentral